CUCCUUCAAAGAGAUCAUAUCAACACUCCCAAGAAGAAAAAGCUGGUAUGGCGAUGAUACUUUUUUGUAUCAAGGCUUUUGGUGUGACACAUUUUUUAUUGAAGGAUUAAUGAGAGCUCAACAAAGUUUUCGAUCUCAACCUUCUGAUAUCGUCAUAUGCAGUGCUAUGAAAACCGGAACAACAUGGUUAAAGUCCCUCACUUUUGCCAUUGUAACAAGAUCCACCUUCGAUGAUUCCACUAACCCUUUAUUUAACAAUCUAUCACAUGAUUGUGUACCCCUUUUAGAGGUUGAUUUAGCCCAAUCUUCCACCAAUCGAGACCCUAAAAAUCCUUUGUUAGCCACACAUACCCCUUACUCUUCUUUACCAAGAUCAAUAAUUGAUUCUAGUUGUAAAAUUGUUUACAUUUGUAGGGACCCUAAGGAUUCAUUAGUUUCGCUUUAUCACUUCUUUGCUAGGUACUUGGCAUCUAAAGACAUGAAACCUCCCGCUUUAGAAGAGGCCUUUGAGCUUUUUUGCCAAGGUGUAAGCUCUUACGGACCUUAUUGGGACCAUGUUCUAGGGUUUUGGAAAGCAAGUUUGGACCGACCUGAUAAGAUUCUUUUCUUGAAAUACGAAGAAAUGAUAGAAGAUACUAUUUUAUACGUUAAGAAAAUAGCUGAUUUCAUCGGUUAUCCUUUCUCUUUUGAAGAACUUGAAAAAGGAUCAGUCGAAAAAAUCGUAGACAUGUGUAGUUUCGAGAAUUUAAGCAAUUUGGAAGUGAAUAAAAGAGGAAAACACCGUGAGGGAACUCCAGCGGUGAUUGAAAACAAGAUGUAUUUCCGAAAAGGUAAGGUUGGGGAUUGGGAGAAUUAUUUGACACCUGAAAUGGCUGCUCGGUUGGACUCGAUAACGUUGCAGAAGCUAAAUGGUUCUGGCUUAACUCUAUGAUUGAAUAAUAAAGCAGCCAUGGGGUACAUUUUGCCUUCUCUGCAAUUUCGACAUAUUAUGUUUCUAAAAAUAAAUUGUGUAUGCUUUUUGCAAGUAGCAACACUUCUCGUGUUGUUCAUGUUAAGAUCAAUUAAAAGUAUAGUUGGUUCAAUCAAUAAAAUUUGAUAUAAGCUGAUUUGAUUUUGUUAGUUUAAUUUUUAUGGAUAAACUACACCAACUCUCCUAAGCUUUGUAUAAAAUUACAUUUCAGUUAUCCAACUUUCAAAAUUUAUAUCAUAGUCACUAACAUUAUCAAAUUGUUACAUUUUUGUCACUCGACUGUUAACUUUAAAGAAGUAACGUUGCACAUUAAUUCAAAAGGUUAAUAGCUAAUUUGGUCCCUGAACUAUAGUUAAAAAAUUAUUUUCACAUUUAAAUUUUUUACAAUAAUUUUAAAAAAGUAAAAAAAAAAGUCUUAAAAAUAAAAUUCAUAUAAAAAACCAGUUGCAGCGAGAAACAACUAAGAAUUUUGCUACCGUCUUUGCUCUUUUUUUCUUUUUUUUUUUCCUCUCUUUUUUCAUGUAGACCGAUGUUGGCUCUUCUCUUCCCAAAUCUUUAAAAAUAAUAUAUAGGUUUUAUUUAUAGCUAAAAGAAAAAUAUUGACUUGAAAAGGUCGGUUUGGAGAAGAAGAAUAGCACUUUGUAUUAUAAAUUUAAAAACAAAACCCAAUCAGUGUAACACCCCAAACCCAACCUAGACGUUGUGACCGAAUCUUAAAAGUUACAUUAACUUCUUGAGAAUUUAGAUUGUUAUUUUCUGAAAUUUCGACUUGUUUUUCUGUAAAAGUAAAUUCUUAGUAAAAAAACUCGUUUUCACUUAUUAGUUGCAAAAAAAAAAAAAAACACCAUUCUACAAUAACGGUUUCUUUAAAACAUUUGUUCUUUACUCGUAAAUUGAAAUAAUAGAAAUACUGUGAACAUGCUUAUUUUUCAGAAAACUAGAUUUCUCAUUUUGUUUUGCAGCGGAAAAACUUUAACUUGUUUAAUUUUGAAAAUCGAACAUUUUUUUUAAUUAACAGAAAUCAUGUAGAAAAUUUAAACUAAUUAACUAAAAACUCAACAAAACCCAAAUCCAAAAAAAAGUUCAAAAAUUAGUUCUACAGUAAAAAGCAUAGUUGAUUGAAUAUGUGAAAUGUGAUUAAAAACAACAUGUAAAAGAAAAUGCGAAAUGAUUUAUAUGAGUCCGAAGGAUCGAUAUGAAAGUUAAAAAAAAUCAAUAGAUUUGAUAUAGAAAUGAUAUGAUUAAAUGAUAUGAUUAAAUGAUAUUUUUUUUAUAGUGGAAAAAGUAGCAUGGUAUGUUAUAAUGAUUUGCCGAUUUGCAUAAUGUAUGUGUCGAAACAAUUUUUUUUAUAAAACGGGAUCGAUUUUAAUUUUGAAAAUGAAAACGAACAUGGGAGUUGCCACCAAUCCUUUUUAUUUAGGUGUGAUCGGAUCACUUUAUAAUUUAAUCAUUUUAAUAAAAGUUUUAAAUUUACUAAAACGAUAAUUUUUGGUCUACAAAAUCCAGAAAAUGGGUUCGGGAGUCAAUUACGCACGAGGAAGGGUUAGCACGCUCGUAACGCCCAGAAAUUGGUACCUAGUUGAUUAAUUAGUGUCUUAGUGUUGAGGAUUGAAAACUUUGAAGAGUUUUAAAAAUACGAUCCUUAAGAAAAACUCGAAUAACAUGGGUUAGAAUUUAGGAUUCUCUUGUUCUGAAGGAAUAUCACAUCCAGCACGUUAGGAUACAAUACUUUAAACCCUCGAAACCAAGAUUACCUUAUGGUUUCCAAAACCCAUAUUUUUGAAAUUUUAAGAGGAUAUUUGGCUAUUUUGUCGAACGAGAAAUUGAAACCCAACACGUUAGGGCACGUUUUCUCGAAUUUCCAAACGUAAAAUAUUGCCUUAUUUUAAAACCCUUUUUUUUUGAAUAAUAGCGAGUACAACACUUGAACGACAUACAUUUGUUUUAUUUAUGAUAAAACAUAAAAGUUUAUUAUAGGUAUAUACAAAUCGAGCGCAACUUUUGAAGUGAUGAAAUGGAAUGAUAAUGGGCCAUAAAAUAACAACUAACGAAUAAAAUGAUACAUUAAUGCAUGACAAGUAUACGAAAACACGAAUAAAUGAAGCAUAGUUCCCACAAUUACAAUAAGCACAGAACAUAUAACAUUUUAAUACCAACAUUAAUAAAGAAAUAAUAUAUGAAAUAAUUUGAAGUAAAUAACAAUAUAAAAUAAGUGAUUUAUAAGAACAAUAAAUAAUAAGGGUUUCAAAUAAACAAUCAAUAGGAAUCUUAAAAUAAAUAAUAACAAAACAGUUUAAAAUAAAUAAAUAAGGUAUGGAACAGUUUUAAAGAAUAUAUGAAAAUUUGAAAGGCAUAUAUAUAUAUACAAUUGAUAAUAUAAAUAUUAUGUAAAACCGUUUAAAACAAAUAAUGUAUGGAACUUAAAAUUAAUAAUGCUAACGAGCCUUCUUUUUUUUAAAAGAAUGAAUAAAAUAAAUUAAAUGGGCCUAGGACGAAAUUGAAUUCGAAUUAAAGAGUCAGGUCUAAAUUAAAAAAAAAGGCCGCCGAGGAUCAAAAUAAGACGCGCCCGAAGAACGAGGGACUUAUUGGGAAAAUAUUCCCUUCCCUCAUGCGCAACGUUCAACACGGACCAGAUUGGAACGAACGGAAAAUCAUGCGGCCCAAAUAAAAAGACAACAUGGAUUAGAUUGCACCACAGCGCAAAAGCGGAGGGACCCCUCACAUAAAUAGACCGUCCAAGCUAGAGGUGCUCAUGGGUUGGGCCGGGCCGGGUUCGGGCCGGGCCAUAAAAAAUUUUGUCCCGGGUCCUACGCCUGGGCUUGGCCCGAAAUAUGGGCCUGAAAUUUUGCCCAUGCCCGGCCCGGGAAAAAUCAUAAUCCCGGGCCCGGCCCAUUUUUUAAUAAAUACCAAAAAAUUAUUUUAAAAAUUAAAAAAAGUAUUUUAAAAAUAUUUUAAAAAUAUUUUAAAAUUAAAUUAAAAAAUUUUAAAAAGUAUUUUAAAAAUAUUUUAAAAUUAAAAAAGUAUUUUAAAAUUUAAAAAAUAAAUAUAUUUAUUAUAUCGGCCCGGCCCGGCCAAAAAAGUUAUGCUCGUUUUUUUGCCCAAGCCCAUAUUUCGGGCCUAUAUUUUUACCCAAACCCUCCCAUACUUCGGGCGGGCCGUCGGGCCGGGCCAGGCCGCCCGGCCCAUGAGCACCUCUAGGCCAAGCAAAACACACGGAUCCUGCUACUGGGUCGGGUCGCGCGCGCGAGUUAAGGGCCAAAACGACGUCGUUUUGGCAACUGAACCCUAACUUAGAAAAUGGCGCCGUUUAAUAACCUUAUUUAAAUCAUUUUUUUAAAAAAAUUCAUUUUUUCAGUGUUUAGAGAAAAAAAAAACUUCAAAACCUCCCAUAUGUCUCUCUCAACCCCACUUGGCCAGCGUGGGUUCCCUCGGAGGAUCUGCCGCACCGCCAUCUGCAACUCUCGACUCAACAAUGUUUGUAUAGUUCCUUUACGUUUUGAUAUAUGACAUGUACUUAAGUUUUGUAUCUUGGAUGGUCAUUUGGAAAAUUGGAUAGUUGAUGUCAAUUUGAAUUUAUGAAUAUGAAAUGUUUAAGUUAUCAUGAACAUUAUGUGAUGUUUAAAUGGUUAAGUGGUGUAAACGAUCAUAUGUAUUAAGUUAGAUUUGAGUUAUGAAUGGUUAAAUUGAUAAACAUGAAUGAUAAUGACAUAGCAAAGGUAGUAUAUGAAGUGUUGAUGUAGGUAUUAUGCUUGAACGGAUUGGUUUCGCAUUGGUUAUUUUGGUUAGGUUAGUAUGGAUUGGUUCCAUAUAAACAUUUCAAAACAGUAUGUCAUGUUGUAACAAGAAAUCGAUAGUGAAUGAUGUCGCGACUUGGAAUCUCCCAAGUUGUGACGUCAACUCGAUAGUUUUAACAUUUUAUAUUUUAGUCCUUAAACGACCUUAGGUUAUCGAAAAAGCUUUCGUAUGCUCGUAUAAACCUUGAAUAUGUUUGUAUAAUAUGAUAUAAUGAUGUAUUGAUCAUAAUUACAUGUAUCAACUGUUGAAUUGAUAAAAUUUAGAUCGUAGUUGUUCCAACAACGAAUGUGACAUCCCAUAACUUGGACCUGAGAUCAAGUUGGUAUGGGGUUUACAAGAAAGGUGGGUUUCGAGAAGAAGAAUAGCACUUUGUAUUAUAAAUUUAAAAACAAAAACUCAAUCAGUUUAGUAAAUGGAGUUAGAGAAGAAAUAAUGGGUUUAGAAAAGAAGUAGAGUACUUUGUGUUAUAAAUUAAAAGAAAAAAAAAUCAAAAAUUUCAAAAAAUUGAAACUUACCAAAGAGUCCAAAUAAAUAUAAUAUAAUAAAACAUUUUGCUUUUCUCUCUUGCUCGAUAGGCCGUUGAUGAUAGAAAUUUUUAUGAUUCUCAAGAAUGAAAGCACUGUUACCCAAGCCCUGAUUUUGUUUCCUGGAAAUUCGAGCAGCAACAAUCGGUCUAAUAAUUAUAACUAGUUAGACUUUUCUAGUUAAUAAAAGACUAUUACGUACCAAUUUUAUAAACUACUAACAAUAUAUAUUUGACAGUUAAAAGUUUUAUUUUACAUAAAACGAAUAUUUAGAAAAUUUUAAUUUAUAUCAAUCUUGACAUACAUGAUCUAUAUGAAUGGAGUAUGAAAUAGGACGGUGAGAUUGUUAAAAUAAAAAUUGUAUAAAAAGUUACUAAAUUAUGCAAAACCACUUUAAUUUUACACCCGUGUAAGUGAAUCUCUCCUCUUAUUUUAUUUUUUAAGUAUUAUAUUAAUAAUUUUUAUCUUACAUGUUUUAUUUAUGUUUUCUGGGUACAUGUUUUAUCUUAAGAUUUGUAUAAUUCUUUACACAAUUAUAAUUCAUUUUACAUAGUUAUAUAAAAUCAUUAAUUUUACAUAAAUUUUGAUAUAUUAUUAUAUUUUGGUUUAGGUUUAUUUCUAUGUGACAUGAUAAUUUUAAUUAUUUAAUUUUUUUUAUCUUCGAAUAAUUUUGUCAAAUAAUUUAAUAAUUGAAUCAUUAUAUAUAGUGUACAAAUCAUAAUAAAAAAUUAAUCUAACUUUACGAAGCAUAAUGAGCAGGUAUAUUCUAGUGAUAUAUUAAAUAUAUUAUAUAACUCUUUUACAUACUUUUUUUACCUUCAAAAAGUCAAAAUCUUGAUCAUUUUAGUCUCUUUUUUUUUAUUAUUAUCAUUUUAGUUUUGAAUCAUCAAAUUUCAAUUAAAUUACCUUUUUUUUUGGACGUAAAAGGUUCACCUAACAAGUAAACUUUUAAACGUGAUAGCCUGUAUAGUAGUGCAUGUGUAUUUUAUUGUUGACGUGGAUGAUUAUUUUCAAAACUUUUAUGAACUUUUUGAAUUUUUAUUUUUAUUUAAUUUAUGAAGUAAGCGCGGACUUUCAUGUGUGUCACCAUGUCACUUCCGUUAAAAUUUUAAUAGUUCAAUUAAUUUUUCCGUUUAAAGAAAAACAAUUUAACAAAAAUUUGAAAAUUUAAAACAAACCGAUCCAAAAAAGUAUCAAGACAAAUGCAUUUAAGAAAAGAGAAAUUAUUUGGUAUACUGCCAGUAGAGCUUUUAUACUCUACAAGCAAAAUCAGGAGUUAAUAAGUAUCCUAUAGAAAAUACCAAUUUUUUAAGAUUACUUAUAAAAAAAAAAAUACACUUCACAGUUCACCCCAAUUAUUGUUAACAAAACCUGAUUCCAAAUCUUUUAAAAUAAUACAAAAAAAUCUAUCAACUAGAUUGUUUAGUGACAAAAUCUUGCAUGGGACAGACCUUGACAAUGGGUAAAUAAGCACUAGCUACAUUUUUUAUUUAUUUAGUCCCUAUAAUUCUAUUUCAAUUCAAGAAAUUACGUGGUGGAUAUAAUAAAAAAUUGUUAUUAAAAGCAAAUAAUUUUCGUCACUAAGUUCACAUGGUUCAAUUACAAAAAAAUUAUUGUGUAAUUGUGAAAGAAAUUACCUUUUCUCUAAAGCUAUUUAUAGACCCAAUUUUUGUCAAAAUAUUUGCACUCAUUUCCCCCUUCUUUUUCCUUUAUGAAAAUGGCCUCCUUCAAAGAGAUUAUAUCAACUCUCCCAAGAAGAAAAAGUUGGAAUGACUCAAAUAACGACUUUUUUUUGUAUCGAGGCUUCUGGUGUUACUCAUUUUUCAUUGAAGGAGUGAUGUCGGCUCAACAAAAUUUCCAAUCUCAACCUUCCGAUAUCGUCAUAUGCAGUGCACCGAAAACUGGAACAACAUGGUUAAAGUCCCUCACUUUUGCCAUUGUCACAAGAACCACCUUCGAUGAUUCCACUAACCCUUUACUUGCCAAUCUAUCACAUGAUUGUGUACCCUUUUUAGAGGUUGAUUUAGCCCAAUCUUCUACCAAUCGAGACCCUAAAAAUCCUUUGUUAGCCACACAUGUCCCUUACUCUUCUUUACCAAGAUCAAUAAUUGAUUCCAGUUGUAAAAUUGUUUACAUUUGUAGGGACCCUAAGGAUUCAUUCGUUUCGUUUUAUCACUUCAUUGCUAGGCGCUUGGCAUCCAAAGACAUAAAGCCCCUUGCUUUAGAAGAGGCCUUUGAGCUUUAUUGCCAAGGUGUAAGCAAUUAUGGACCUUAUUGGGACCAUGUUCUAGGGUUUUGGAAAGCAAGUUUGGACCGACCUGAUAAGAUUCUUUUCUUGAAAUACGAAGAAAUGAUAGAAGAUAUUGUUUUUUACGUUAAGAAAUUAGCUGAUUUCAUCAGUUAUCCUUUCUCUUCUGAAGAAAUCAAAAAAGGGUCAGUCGACAAGAUCAUAAGCAUGUGUAGUUUUGAGAACUUAAGCAAAUUGGAAGUGAAUAAAAGUGGCAAACACCGUGAAGGAACUCCAGGGGUGAUUGAAAACAAGAUCUAUUUCCGAAAAGGUAAGGUUGGGGAUUGGGAGAAUUAUUUGACACCUGAAAUGGCUUCUCGGUUGGACUCGAUAACGUUACAGAAGCUAAAUGGUUCAGGCUUAACUCUGUGAUUGAAUCAUAAAGCAGCCAUGGGGUACAUUGUCCCUUCUCUGCAAUUUCGACAUAUUAUGUUUCUAAAAUAAUUUGU
RNAcentral lists this long non-coding RNA (8025 nucleotides) under Gossypium raimondii (Peruvian cotton). RNAcentral describes it as "long non-coding RNA (GRAI_LNC001711)". Lineage: Eukaryota; Viridiplantae; Streptophyta; Magnoliopsida; Malvales; Malvaceae. The record is from RNAcentral.